This 281-nucleotide ribosomal RNA is filed under the name Bacteroides fragilis NCTC 9343. Its description in RNAcentral is "partial 16S ribosomal RNA". It matches the Rfam family "Bacterial small subunit ribosomal RNA", at positions 524 to 805 of the family's 1533-position model. The record is from RNAcentral. Lineage: Bacteria; Pseudomonadati; Bacteroidota; Bacteroidia; Bacteroidales; Bacteroidaceae.
UACGGAGGAUCCGAGCGUUAUCCGGAUUUAUUGGGUUUAAAGGGAGCGUAGGUGGACUGGUAAGUCAGUUGUGAAAGUUUGCGGCUCAACCGUAAAAUUGCAGUUGAUACUGUCAGUCUUGAGUACAGUAGAGGUGGGCGGAAUUCGUGGUGUAGCGGUGAAAUGCUUAGAUAUCACGAAGAACUCCGAUUGCGAAGGCAGCUCACUGGACUGCAACUGACACUGAUGCUCGAAAGUGUGGGUAUCAAACAGGAUUAGAAACCCGUGCCGGCUGACUGACU